AGCGAGCGCAGACGGUUGGUUAAGUCUGAUGUGAAAGCCCGGAGCUCAACUCCGGAAAGGCAUUGAAAACUGGUUAACUUGAGUGCAGUAGAAGAAAAUGGAACUCCAUGUGUAGCGGUAGAAUGCGUAGAUAUAUGGAAGAACACCAGCGGCGAAGGCGGCUUACUGGACUGUAACUGACGUUGAGGCUCGAAAGUGUGGGUAGCAAACAGGAUUAGAUACCCUGGUAGUCCACACCGUAAACGAUGAACACUAGUGUUAGGAGGUUUCCACCUCUUAAUGCCGAAGCUAACGCAUUAAGUGUUCCGCCUGGGGAGUACGACCGCCAAGGGGGAAACUCAAAGGAAUUGAAGGGGACCCCCACAAGCGGUGGAGCAUGUGGUUUAAUUCGAACCAACGCGAAGACCCUUACCAAGGUCUUGCCAUCCUUUGAAGCUUUUAGAAAUAGAAGUGUUCUCUUCGGAGACAAAGUGACAGGUGGUGCAUGGUCGUCGUCAGCUCGUGUCGUGAGAUGUUGGGUUAAGUCCCGCAACGAGCGCAACCCUUAUUGUUAGUUGCCAGCAUUCAGAUGGGCACUCUAGCGAGACUGCCGGUGACAAACCGGAGGAAGGCGGGGACGACGUCAGAUCAUCAUGCCCCUUAUGACCUGGGCUACACACGUGCUACAAUGGCGUAUACAACGAGUUGCCAACCUGCGAAGGUGAGCUAAUCUCUUAAAGUACGUCUCAGUUCGGACUGCAGUCUGCAACUCGACUGCACGAAGUCGGAAUCGCUAGUAAUCGCGGAUCAGCACGCCGCGGUGAAUACGUUCCCGGGUCUUGCACUCGACCGCCCGUCA
Molecule: ribosomal RNA, 838 nt
Filed under: uncultured bacterium
Lineage: Bacteria
Description: bacterial SSU rRNA
Rfam family: Bacterial small subunit ribosomal RNA
Source: RNAcentral